AGUAGAGUGGCUGAGGUUAAUAAGUGGUAGAUUGUAAAUCUAUAAAGGGGUGUUUGCCCUUCUACUA
This 67-nucleotide transfer RNA is filed under the name Cryptotermes havilandi. RNAcentral describes it as "tRNA-Tyr". It matches the Rfam family "tRNA". From Rfam's summary of the family: Transfer RNA (tRNA) molecules are approximately 80 nucleotides in length. Their secondary structure includes four short double-helical elements and three loops (D, anti-codon, and T loops). Further hydrogen bonds mediate the characteristic L-shaped molecular structure. tRNAs have two regions of fundamental functional importance: the anti-codon, which is responsible for specific mRNA codon recognition, and the 3' end, to which the tRNAs corresponding amino acid is attached (by aminoacyl-tRNA synthetases). tRNAs cope with the degeneracy of the genetic code in two manners: having more than one tRNA (with a specific anti-codon) for a particular amino acid; and 'wobble' base-pairing, i.e. permitting non-standard base-pairing at the 3rd anti-codon position. Lineage: Eukaryota; Metazoa; Arthropoda; Insecta; Blattodea; Kalotermitidae. The record is from RNAcentral.